Molecule: ribosomal RNA, 415 nt
Filed under: Staphylococcus aureus
Lineage: Bacteria; Bacillati; Bacillota; Bacilli; Caryophanales; Staphylococcaceae
Description: bacterial SSU rRNA
Rfam family: Bacterial small subunit ribosomal RNA
Source: RNAcentral
AGGGAAGAACAUAUGUGUAAGUAACUGUGCACAUCUUGACGGUACCUAAUCAGAAAGCCACGGCUAACUACGUGCCAGCAGCCGCGGUAAUACGUAGGUGGCAAGCGUUAUCCGGAAUUAUUGGGCGUAAAGCGCGCGUAGGCGGUUUUUUAAGUCUGAUGUGAAAGCCCACGGCUCAACCGUGGAGGGUCAUUGGAAACUGGAAAACUUGAGUGCAGAAGAGGAAAGUGGAAUUCCAUGUGUAGCGGUGAAAUGCGCAGAGAUAUGGAGGAACACCAGUGGCGAAGGCGACUUUCUGGUCUGUAACUGACGCUGAUGUGCGAAAGCGUGGGGAUCAAACAGGAUUAGAUACCCUGGUAGUCCACGCCGUAAACGAUGAGUGCUAAGUGUUAGGGGGUUUCCGCCCCUUAGUGCU